Molecule: small nuclear RNA, 146 nt
Filed under: Panthera pardus (leopard)
Lineage: Eukaryota; Metazoa; Chordata; Mammalia; Carnivora; Felidae
Description: U4 spliceosomal RNA (ENSPPRG00000016464.1)
Rfam family: U4 spliceosomal RNA (bases 1-71)
Source: RNAcentral
AGCUUUGCGCAGUGGCAGUAUCGUAGCCAAUGAGGUUUAUCCGAGGCGCGAUUAUUGCUAAUUGGAACUUGGGAACAUCUGCAGACAAAAGUGUGCCCCAAACAGCAGCCUGUGUCAGUCUCAAUCACUAUGGGAAUGAUACUAUU